Molecule: transfer RNA, 86 nt
Filed under: Magnetococcales bacterium
Lineage: Bacteria; Pseudomonadati; Pseudomonadota; Magnetococcia; Magnetococcales
Description: tRNA-Leu
Rfam family: tRNA
About the family: Transfer RNA (tRNA) molecules are approximately 80 nucleotides in length. Their secondary structure includes four short double-helical elements and three loops (D, anti-codon, and T loops). Further hydrogen bonds mediate the characteristic L-shaped molecular structure. tRNAs have two regions of fundamental functional importance: the anti-codon, which is responsible for specific mRNA codon recognition, and the 3' end, to which the tRNAs corresponding amino acid is attached (by aminoacyl-tRNA synthetases). tRNAs cope with the degeneracy of the genetic code in two manners: having more than one tRNA (with a specific anti-codon) for a particular amino acid; and 'wobble' base-pairing, i.e. permitting non-standard base-pairing at the 3rd anti-codon position.
Source: RNAcentral
GCCCGCGUGGCGAAAUUGGUAUACGCUGCGGACUUAAAAUCCGCUGAUCUUAGAUCGUCCCGGUUCGAGUCCGGGCGCGGGCACCA